CAACCUGCCGUCUGCUCUUGGACAGCCUUCUGAAAGGAAGAUUAAUACAAGAUGGCAUCAUGAGUCCGCAUGUUCACAUGAUUAAAGGUAUUCCGGUAGACGAUGGGGAUGCGUUCCAUUAGAUAGUAGGCGGGGUAACGGCCCACCUAGUCUUCGAUGGAUAGGGGUUCUGAGAGGAAGGUCCCCCACAUUGGAACUGAGACGCGGUUCAAACUCCUACGGGAGGCAGCAGUGAGGAAUAUUGGUCAAUGGGCGAGAGCCUGAACCAGCCAAGUAGCGUGAAGGAUGACUGCCCUAUGGGUUGUAAACUUCUUUUAUAAAGGAAUAAAGUCGGGUAUGCAUACCCGUUUGCAUGUACUUUAUGAAUAAGGAUCGGCUAACUCCGUGCCAGCAGCCGCGGUAAUACGGAGGAUCCGAGCGUUAUCCGGAUUUAUUGGGUUUAAAGGGAGCGUAGAUGGAUGUUUAAGUCAGUUGUGAAAGUUUGUGGCUCAACCGUAAAAUUGCAGUUGAUACUGGAUAUCUUGAGUGCAGUUGAGGCAGGCGGAAUUCGUGGUGUAGCGGUGAAAUGCUUAGAUAUCACGAAGAACUCCGAUUG
This 595-nucleotide ribosomal RNA is filed under the name uncultured Bacteroidota bacterium. Its description in RNAcentral is "bacterial SSU rRNA". It matches the Rfam family "Bacterial small subunit ribosomal RNA", at positions 122 to 715 of the family's 1533-position model. The record is from RNAcentral. Lineage: Bacteria; Pseudomonadati; Bacteroidota.